Molecule: ribosomal RNA, 484 nt
Filed under: uncultured bacterium
Lineage: Bacteria
Description: partial 16S ribosomal RNA
Rfam family: Bacterial small subunit ribosomal RNA
Source: RNAcentral
AUUGAACGCUGGCGGCAGGCCUAACACAUGCAAGUCGAGCGGAUGAAGGGAGCUUGCUCCUGGAUUCAGCGGCGGACGGGUGAGUAAUGCCUAGGAAUCUGCCUGGUAGUGGGGGAUAACGUCCGGAAACGGGCGCGAAUACCGCAUACGUCCUGCGGGAGAAAGUGGGGGAUCUUCGGACCUCACGCUCUCAGAUGAGCCUAGGUCGGAUUAGCUAGUUGGUGGGGUAAAGGCCAACCUAGGCGACGAUCCGUAACUGGUCUGAGAGGAUGAUCAGUCACACUGGAACUGAGACACGGUCCAGACUCCUACGGGAGGCAGCAGUGGGGAAUAUUGGACAAUGGGCGAAAGCCUGAUCCAGCCAUGCCGCGUGUAUGAAGAAGGUCUUCGGAUUGUAAAGCACUUUAAGUUGGGAGGAAGGGAAGUAAGUUAAUACCUUGCUGUAUUGACGUUACCAACAGAAGAAGCACCGGCUAACUUCGUG